GGAGGGUUGGCUGAGCGGCUCAAAGCGACGGUUUCGAAAACCGUUCUCCCGUAAGGGAGGCACAGGUUCGAAUCCUGUACCCUCCGCCU
RNAcentral lists this transfer RNA (89 nucleotides) under Candidatus Woesebacteria bacterium RBG_16_40_11. Its description in RNAcentral is "tRNA-Ser". It matches the Rfam family "tRNA". Rfam says of the family: Transfer RNA (tRNA) molecules are approximately 80 nucleotides in length. Their secondary structure includes four short double-helical elements and three loops (D, anti-codon, and T loops). Further hydrogen bonds mediate the characteristic L-shaped molecular structure. tRNAs have two regions of fundamental functional importance: the anti-codon, which is responsible for specific mRNA codon recognition, and the 3' end, to which the tRNAs corresponding amino acid is attached (by aminoacyl-tRNA synthetases). tRNAs cope with the degeneracy of the genetic code in two manners: having more than one tRNA (with a specific anti-codon) for a particular amino acid; and 'wobble' base-pairing, i.e. permitting non-standard base-pairing at the 3rd anti-codon position. Lineage: Bacteria; Candidatus Woeseibacteriota. RNAcentral also lists the same sequence under 3 other names. The record is from RNAcentral.